Long non-coding RNA from Aphis gossypii (cotton aphid), 4060 nucleotides. RefSeq lists it as uncharacterized. Lineage: Eukaryota; Metazoa; Arthropoda; Insecta; Hemiptera; Aphididae. The transcript is spliced from 3 exons. The record is from RefSeq and is a predicted model, not a curated record.
UUGUAAUAAAUCUCGAACUGUUGACUAAUAGAUAUUAUGUAUAAGUAGACUAUAUUAUAAUGUUAUAAAAUACUCGUCCACACAAAAAAUAUUCACCCAGAUCGUUUUUCGAAAGAAUGAUACAAUUUAUAGAAAUAAAAAAUAUUUUAUAAUUCUUAAUUGUAGUUAAUAUGAAUUUAAAACACUUACAUUAACUUUUGAACAUAGUUUUUUUUAACUAUUAUUAUUAUCGAAAGGGGAAAUUGCGGGCAAGGUUACAAGUUCACGGUUGUCGACAAUUGAUUGAAAACAAAUCGUAUAACUGAAAACUAAAUGAUUGCAGAGAAGGUUGGGUUACAUACCAGCUACUUCAGUACCCCUAGGCCCCGAGUCAAGAGUCUGCGGCUUAAAUGGGUGCAGACUACAGGGUGUACGAUGCAUGGUCGGAUGUACCAACAGAAGUGUUUACGCGCGGUUUGCUACAAUAUACCUAUGCGUCAUCCAUUGGUAAGGUUAUGAUAUUUUUUAAGUACUAAGGUAUAUUAUAUAAAGUUCUGUACGUCCAUACUUAAUAAUAUUUAAUUUGAAGAUUUAUAUAUAGCAGGGGCGUCAAAUGAUUUUCUCAUUAGAACAUAUCAUGACGAAAUUACCCUUGGGGAACUGGCCGCCCACACAAUAAAACAUUUCAAAAUAUAUUAAUUCCUUCAAGUAUCUAUCAUGUAAUUGUUUUAGUUAAUGAAAUACGUAUACACAAUUUAAUCGCAUAUUUUUGCGUGAUUAUACCUACUGUUUUAUUUAGGCAACUUUAAGAAAUAAUCGUUUUUAAAAUCAAAAUAUUGUUAAAAUAUUUUGGAAAUUUUAAUUCUUAGUUUACUCUUUAAUAUUUAAAUUCUAGUAUCUAGGUAGUCAUCAUUAAUAAGACUAUAGCAACUAAAUAAAAUAAAACUGGUAAGUAUUUGAUAAAAAUUGAAAAACAAAGAGGGAGAUCACUGAUCAGACAAAUAACAAUCGUAGUAAACAUUGAUAAGAAAACAUUGUCAAAUCAUAUUUCAUAAUAUGACGAUACAUCUUAGUACAUUCUUCAACCAAGUCCUUAGACCGUGAUUAUUGGUUAAUAUCAAGGUCUCGUAUUAUGUGUAUAGCGACUUUUCGAAAAAAGUUAACGACAACAAUAAUGUAGUAUAAUCAAUGCGGUAUUAUAUUAUUAUAUUUUAAUAUCAAUCCCUUAUUAUCUCGGUCUUUAUCAUAUUAAAACGAUCGAGUGAUGGUUUUAUAGUAAUAAUAAACGGUGUGCUAGGUAUUUGAUGAUAAAAAAAAUCGUUGAGGGCUCACACUGCUCACAGAAUGCUAUAGUACAGGUUCCCGAAACGAGAGACUCGAUCGCCAGACGUCUACCACGCUUGUUGUACGUUUUUAAGUUUCUGUUAUUUUUUUCUUUUAUGUUUAUUCGAGACUUAAUAUACUAUAUAUUCGUUUAAUGCAAUUUACGUAGCUAUGCAGGUACAACACGGUGGUCAGAGGUGAUCGUCGACGGCGGAUUUAUUAUGAUUUCACACCACGGCUGCACGUGUACAACAAACACGAAAACAACCCGACUAUAAUAUAACUUACUAUGUACGCGAUGCACAUCUCGAAUUCCAUAAGCAGCUAGCGAUAAGACCGCAGCGACCUCGAAGCCGAAUCGGGAAAAAGGCAGAUAAUAUAUACAAUGUGUUUAAUAUAUAUAUAUAUAAUUACGCAUGUACAGGUACGUAGCCUAUGAUUCUCUUCUUUUUACAUAUAUAAUAUAUAUAACAAAAUAUUUAUUAUAUAUCGGUCCAAUUAUGGUAAAAACUACUAUAAUAUUAUAUAUAUAUAUAUUUACGUAUACUGUCUGUGCCGUCUGUUACUCGGUGCACUUGACCCAGUUUCAAAGUACCAGCCGCCGCGCGCAUGAAUACCUACACCAAUAAUAUAAUAUUGUGUACCAGCUACGGUUCGUUCUAUCUAUACGUCCAAUAUAACAAACAUUAUGCCGCGGUACAUUAUUAUUAUAUAAUAAUGCAUUAUAUAGUAUUAUCGUUUUUUAAAAUUUUUUUUAAAAUUUUUUUAUGUAUAAGUACGGUUUAUCCAUAUAAUAGGCUAAUCUUGUGGGUAUGGAACUCGAAGGGUGUAAAGCCCUCCUCCAAAGGAUGGUAUCACUUUCCACCACCAUGAUGGUUUAGUCCGUUAUCUAUUCGACUUAUAAAUUAUAAUGUUUAUGAAAUGUUUAACACUAAAAUAAAAUAUUUAGGUAGAUACAUUAAUAUAUUAUCGCCUAUUUAUCUAUUUACUUUAUUUACGUUUAUAUAUCUCAUAUACUUCAGAUUUGGGAACAAAAAAAAUUUAGUUAGCCAAUUGUAAGUUGAAGCCUGCUUUAUUUUGAUAAUGAGUAAAAAUUUCAGCUUCCUACAUGACUGACCAAACAAUACGAGUUUACCUAUAAUUCCUAAGUAUGAUAUCAUAGAUUUGACGUAAAUCAUAAUAUACAACUAUAGAUUGCCACAUAAUAUGAUUUAUACAUUAAAAUACUGCACUCUUUAGAUUCUUGCAACCGCCGAUUUUCAUUCACGAGAUCAUGAUGCAGUGCAAACCUAAGGCUAUAAUAUAAGCAAUCGUCGUCAUAUUCAAACUCACGUUUCUCACCUCCAGUGCGACUAAAAUAAAAACCUCUACUUACACAAAUUCACUGCAAUAGUGUCAACUAUAGUAACUAUUAUAGAUAAAUAUCAUUCUGUCUUAAAAUAUAAAUGAUAGACGUUACAAAAGUAUGUAUAGCUCAUUGUGCUAUAUUGUUAUUGAAUUUAUAGUUAUAGACUAUAAUAGUUUACACUGUUUACAGUAAUAACGUAAUUCAUUAAAAACAAUUCAAAUAAUUUAUAAAAUAUUAAUAUUAUUUGGGUUAAUUUAUUAGUAAUGUGUAAAUUCACUUUUUGAAAAAUUAACUCAAAUCUAUAUAUUAUACAAUACGAGUAGGUGCCAUGAAUGUAUAUGCAUAUGCCAUAUAUCGUUAUACAUAUUCAUAGGUGUAAAUAUAUUAUGUUAAGCAGUGAAUAAUGUACACUAAAAUUCAAAAUCUUUUAGGUAUCAAAUACAUAUUUAUUUACCUAAUUUCCAUAUAUUUUAUGAUGUCGAUUUUUAAUGUUUUUCUAUCAUCUGCUAAUGCUAAUUAUAUUAUACAGUUUACUAUGGAGAAGUGUUUGCACGAAUAAAUAUGUAAAUCGAAAAAGUAUAAUAAUAUUAUAUAUUAUUCUAAACUGAGUGUGGGUGACUACCGAGUGAGUAUAGAAUGGUAUUCAUAUUUAAAAGCAAUGAUGAUAAAUCAUAAUUUUAUUAUACAUUUACUACUCGUUUGUAUAAUAUUUCACACAUUAAUACAUUAUACAUUGUUAUUUACAACUAUCUGUUGAACAAGGAACAAUAAAAUAUUCCAUUUAAAAUUAAUCCGACUAGAACCGUGUAAUUAUAUAAUUUUAUGGCAAUAUGUUUUUGUAAAAAUAUUCCUUUUUCAAAAACAUACAACAUAAACACGCAAUAUAGACAAUAUAGUUUGUGUUUCGACUAGCUGACUUUUUUUUAAUAAAAGGAAAAUAAUUGUUUUAAGAAAGUAACGUAACACGUGUGCGGGUUUAACAAAAGUUUGAAAUCCAACUGUGUUGCAUGACAAACUCAUUUUUAGCAACAUGACAAGUUAAACAAUAUACUAUAUAGUAGGUACCUACCGGAUCUAUACCAUUGUUAAGGUUAAGGUCGAUAAUUAGUUGAAGAACCUAUAGUAAAUAAAAUAUAAAUCAAUAAUGGAGACAAAGGAAUAAGGAAGAGAAAGAAUUCAACAAAAAAAAUUAUAUUUUUACGCUUCAGAAAAACUAUUGGUAUAAUUCUAUAUAUAAUAAACAAUUCAUAAAAACGCUACUAUAAUAGUCCUUUACUAAAUUUCAUCAUCGAGCUUCUCAAACAUAAAUUGUGUUCUGAGUUUAAUAUCGAUGGUACAAAAUUAAAUUAAAACAAAAUAAUGAUGUUUUAAACAAAUAAAUAAAGAUACAUUUUUCUUAAAAUAUAUGAA